GACGAACGCUGGCGGCGUGCCUAACACAUGCAAGUCGAACGGAAAGGCCCUGCUUUUGUGGGGUGCUCGAGUGGCGAACGGGUGAGUAACACGUGAGUAACCUGCCCCUGACUUUGGGAUAACUUCAGGAAACUGGGGCUAAUACCGGAUAGGAGCUCUUGCUGCAUGGUGGGGGUUGGAAAGUUUCGGCGGUUGGGGAUGGACUCGCGGCUUAUCAGCUUGUUGGUGGGGUAGUGGCUUACCAAGGCUUUGACGGGUAGCCGGCCUGGGAGGGUGACCGGCCACAUUGGGACUGAGAUACGGCCCAGACUCCUACGGGAGGCAACGGUGGAGAAUAUUGCACAGUGGGCGGAAGCCUGAUGCAGCAACGCCGCGUGCGGGAUGACGGCCUUCGGGUUGUGAACCGCUUUCGCCUGUGACGAAGCGUGAGUGACGGUAAUGGGUAAAGAAGCACCGGCUAACUACGUG
RNAcentral lists this ribosomal RNA (468 nucleotides) under uncultured bacterium. RNAcentral describes it as "partial 16S ribosomal RNA". It matches the Rfam family "Bacterial small subunit ribosomal RNA", at positions 28 to 507 of the family's 1533-position model. The record is from RNAcentral.